This 64-nucleotide transfer RNA is filed under the name Candidatus Omnitrophota bacterium. RNAcentral describes it as "tRNA-Ile". It matches the Rfam family "tRNA". From Rfam's summary of the family: Transfer RNA (tRNA) molecules are approximately 80 nucleotides in length. Their secondary structure includes four short double-helical elements and three loops (D, anti-codon, and T loops). Further hydrogen bonds mediate the characteristic L-shaped molecular structure. tRNAs have two regions of fundamental functional importance: the anti-codon, which is responsible for specific mRNA codon recognition, and the 3' end, to which the tRNAs corresponding amino acid is attached (by aminoacyl-tRNA synthetases). tRNAs cope with the degeneracy of the genetic code in two manners: having more than one tRNA (with a specific anti-codon) for a particular amino acid; and 'wobble' base-pairing, i.e. permitting non-standard base-pairing at the 3rd anti-codon position. Lineage: Bacteria; Pseudomonadati; Candidatus Omnitrophota. The record is from RNAcentral.
GGCGGGAUAGCUCAGCUUGGUAGAGCAAACGGCUCAUACCCGUUCGGUCGGUGGUUCCCCGCCA